Molecule: ribosomal RNA, 253 nt
Filed under: uncultured bacterium
Lineage: Bacteria
Description: partial 16S ribosomal RNA
Rfam family: Bacterial small subunit ribosomal RNA
Source: RNAcentral
UACGUAGGGGGCUAGCGUUGUCCGGAUUUAUUGGGCGUAAAGAGCGUGUAGGCGGCCAGAUAGGUCUGCUGUGAAAACUCGAGGCUCAACCUCGAGAUGUCGGCGGAAACCAUUUGGCUAGAGUCCGGAAGAGGAAAGUGGAAUUCCUGGUGUAGCGGUGAAAUGCGCAGAUAUCAGGAAGAACACCCGUGGCGAAGGCGACUUCCUGGCCUGUUCUUGACGCUGAGGCGCGAAAGCUAGGGGAGCAAACGGG